This 592-nucleotide ribosomal RNA is filed under the name Porostereum spadiceum. Its description in RNAcentral is "LSU rRNA". It matches the Rfam family "Eukaryotic large subunit ribosomal RNA", at positions 72 to 647 of the family's 3401-position model. Lineage: Eukaryota; Fungi; Basidiomycota; Agaricomycetes; Polyporales; Phanerochaetaceae. The record is from RNAcentral.
GGAUUCCCCUAGUAACUGCGAGUGAAGCGGGAAAAGCUCAAAUUUAAAAUCUGGCGGUCUUCGGCCGUCCGAGUUGUAAUCUGGAGAAGCGUCUUCCGCGCUGGACCGUGUACAAGUCUCUUGGAACAGAGCGUCAUAGAGGGUGAGAAUCCCGUCUUUGACACGGACUACCAGUGCUUUGUGAUGCGCUCUCGAUGAGUCGAGUUGUUUGGGAAUGCAGCUCAAAAUGGGUGGUAAAUUCCAUCUAAAGCUAAAUAUUGGCGAGAGACCGAUAGCGAACAAGUACCGUGAGGGAAAGAUGAAAAGCACUUUGGAAAGAGAGUUAAACAGUACGUGAAAUUGCUGAAAGGGAAACGCUUGAAGUCAGUCGCGUUUGCUAGAACUCAGCCUUGCUUCUGUGAGGUGCAUUUUCUAGUGAACGGGCCAGCAUCAGUUUUGGCUGCCGGACAAAGGCCUCGGGAAUGUGGCACCUUCGGGUGUGUUAUAGCCCUCGGUCGUAUACGGUGGCUGGGACUGAGGAUCUCAGCACGCCUUCAUGGCGGGGGUUCGCCCACCUUCGUGCUUAGGAUGCUGGCGUAAUGGCUUUAAACGA